GAUGAACGCUGGCGGCGUGCCUAAUACAUGCAAGUCGAGCGAACGGACGAGAAGCUUGCUUCUCUGAUGUUAGCGGCGGACGGGUGAGUAACACGUGGAUAACCUACCUAUAAGACUGGGAUAACUUCGGGAAACCGUAGCUAAUACCGGAUAAUAUUUUGAACCGCAUGGUUCAAAAGUGAAAGACGGUCUUGCUGUCACUUAUAGAUGGAUCCGCGCUGCAUUAGCUAGUUGGUAAGGUAACGGCUUACCAAGGCAACGAUGCAUAGCCGACCUGAGAGGGUGGUCGGACACACUGGAACGGAGACACGGUCCAGACUCCUACGGGAGGCAGCAGUAGGGAAUCUUCCGCAAUGGGCGAAAGCCUGACGGAGCAACGCCGCGUGAGUGAUGAAGGUCUUCGGAUCGUAAAACUCUGUUAUUAGGGAAGAACAUAUGUGUAAGUAACUGUGCACAUCUUGACGGUACCUAAUCAGAAAGCCACGGCUAACUACGUG
RNAcentral lists this ribosomal RNA (497 nucleotides) under uncultured bacterium. Its description in RNAcentral is "partial 16S ribosomal RNA". It matches the Rfam family "Bacterial small subunit ribosomal RNA", at positions 28 to 507 of the family's 1533-position model. The record is from RNAcentral.